RNAcentral lists this transfer RNA (70 nucleotides) under Zyzomys argurus. Its description in RNAcentral is "tRNA-Thr". The record is from RNAcentral. Lineage: Eukaryota; Metazoa; Chordata; Mammalia; Rodentia; Muridae.
UGCCCUGAUAGUAUAAACAUUACCCUGGUUUUGUAAACCAAAAAUGAAGAUAUAUUCUUCUCAAGGCAUC